UGGGGAAUCUUCCGCAAUGGACGAAAGUCUGACGGAGCAACGCCGCGUGAGUGAAGACGGCCUUCGGGUUGUAAAGCUCUGUGAUUCGGGACGAAAGGCCAUAUGUGAAUAAUAUAUGGAAAUGACGGUACCGAAAAAGCAAGCCACGGCUAACUACGUGCCAGCAGCCGCGGUAAUACGUAGGUGGCAAGCGUUGUCCGGAAUUAUUGGGCGUAAAGCGCGCGCAGGCGGUCACUUAAGUCCAUCUUAGAAGUGCGGGGCUUAACCCCGUGAUGGGAUGGAAACUGGGAGACUGGAGUAUCGGAGAGGAAAGUGGAAUUCCUAGUGUAGCGGUGAAAUGCGUAGAUAUUAGGAAGAACACCGGUGGCGAAUGCGACUUUCUGGACGAAAACUGACGCUGAGGCGCGAAAGCGUGGGGAGCAAACAGG
Molecule: ribosomal RNA, 428 nt
Filed under: bacterium
Lineage: Bacteria
Description: partial 16S ribosomal RNA
Rfam family: Bacterial small subunit ribosomal RNA
Source: RNAcentral